This 69-nucleotide transfer RNA is filed under the name Stenomorpha obovata. RNAcentral's name for it is "tRNA-Gln". The record is from RNAcentral. Lineage: Eukaryota; Metazoa; Arthropoda; Insecta; Coleoptera; Tenebrionidae.
UAUAUUUUAGUAUAUGAUGUACAGGAAUUUUUGAUGUUUCAGGUAAUAGUUUGAUUCUAUUAAAUAUAA